Molecule: ribosomal RNA, 253 nt
Filed under: uncultured bacterium
Lineage: Bacteria
Description: partial 16S ribosomal RNA
Rfam family: Bacterial small subunit ribosomal RNA
Source: RNAcentral
CACGUAGGGGGCGAGCGUUGUCCGGAUUUAUUGGGCGUAAAGCGCGCGUAGGCGGCCCAGUAAGUCCGUUGUAAAAGUCAAAGGCUCAACCUUUGAAAGCCGAUGGAUACUGCUGGGCUAGAGUCCGGAAGAGGCGACUGGAAUUCCUGGUGUAGCGGUGAAAUGCGCAGAUAUCAGGAAGAACACCAAUGGCGAAGGCAGCUCUCUGGGACGGUACUGACGCUGAGACGCGAAAGCGUGGGGAGCGAACAGG